CGGGCAGUAGCUGAGUGGUAGAGCUCCCGCUUCGUAUGAGGAAUGACCUGGGUUCGGUUCCCGGCUGCCUAU
Molecule: transfer RNA, 72 nt
Filed under: Toxocara canis (dog roundworm)
Lineage: Eukaryota; Metazoa; Nematoda; Chromadorea; Rhabditida; Toxocaridae
Rfam family: tRNA
About the family: Transfer RNA (tRNA) molecules are approximately 80 nucleotides in length. Their secondary structure includes four short double-helical elements and three loops (D, anti-codon, and T loops).
Source: Rfam by way of RNAcentral